CCUACGGGAGGCAGCAGUGGGGAAUUUUGGACAAUGGGCGCAAGCCUGAUCCAGCCAUGCCGCGUGUGUGAAGAAGGCCUUCGGGUUGUAAAGCACUUUCGGACGGAACGAAAUCGCGCGGGUUAACAGCGCGCGUGGAUGACGGUACCGUAAGAAGAAGCACCGGCUAACCACGUGCCAGCAGCCGCGGUAAUACGUAGGGUGCGAGCGUUAAUCGGAAUUACUGGGCGUAAAGGGUGCGCAGGCGGCCCCGCAAGUCAGGCGUGAAAUCCCCGGGCUUAACUUGGGAAUGGCGCUUGAAACUACGGGGCUGGAGUGUGGCAGAGGGAGGUGGAAUUCCACGUGUAGCGGUGAAAUGCGUAGAGAUGUGGAGGAACACCGAUGGCGAAGGCAGCCUCCUGGGCCAACACUGACGCUCAUGCACGAAAGCGUGGGGAGCAAACAGGAUUAGAUACCCUGGUAGUCCACGCCCUAAACGAUGAUGACUAGUUGUUGGAGGAGUUAAAUCCUUUAGUAACGCAGCUAACGCGAGAAGUCAUCCGCCUGGGGAGUACGGUCGCAAGAUUAAAACUCAAAGGAAUUGACGG
RNAcentral lists this ribosomal RNA (587 nucleotides) under uncultured bacterium. RNAcentral describes it as "bacterial SSU rRNA". It matches the Rfam family "Bacterial small subunit ribosomal RNA", at positions 338 to 916 of the family's 1533-position model. The record is from RNAcentral.